GACGAACGCUGGCGGCGUGCUUAACACAUGCAAGUCGAACGAUGAAGCGCCUUCCUUUUUGGUGGGUCUUGAUGAGUGGCGGACUGGUUAAUAAGACGUUAGUAUCCUUCUCCGUUCUUCUGGAUAACCGCAUGCAAGUGUUGCUACUACGGGAUAUUCUGGAUCUCUUGCAUGAUGGGUCUGAGAUAGCUUUUGUUUCGGUGAUGGAUGGGCUCGCGGCGUAUGAGCUUGUUGGUGGGGUGAUGGCCUACCAAGGCGGUGACGGGUAGCCGGCCUGAGAGGGUGGACGGUCACACGGGGACUGAGACGCGGAGCAGACUACUACGGGAGGCAGCAGGGGGGAAUACGGAACGAGGGGAGGAAGGAUGAUGCAGCGACGCCGCGGGAGGGAAGGAGGCCGUAGGGUUGUGAACCGCUUUCGCGAGUGAAGCAGGCCGGACGUGUGUGUGGGUGGGUUGACGGUAGCUGGACAAGAAGCGCCGGCUAACUACGUG
Molecule: ribosomal RNA, 494 nt
Filed under: uncultured bacterium
Lineage: Bacteria
Description: partial 16S ribosomal RNA
Rfam family: Bacterial small subunit ribosomal RNA
Source: RNAcentral